RNAcentral lists this ribosomal RNA (502 nucleotides) under uncultured Glomeromycotina. RNAcentral's name for it is "partial small subunit ribosomal RNA". It matches the Rfam family "Eukaryotic small subunit ribosomal RNA", at positions 591 to 1092 of the family's 1831-position model. Lineage: Eukaryota; Fungi; Glomeromycota. The record is from RNAcentral.
CCAAUAGCGUAUAUUAAAGUUGUUGCAGUUAAAAAGCUCGUAGUUGAACUUCGGGGUCUACCCAUUGGUCAGGCUUAAUUGUCUGCACUGGUGAGAUGGAUCUCUACCUUCUGAGGAACUUUCAUGCCAUUUAUUUGGUGUGGUUGGAAAUCAGGACUGUUACUUUGAAAAAAUUAGAGUGUUUAAAUCAGACUAUCGUCUGAAUACAUUAGCAUGGAAUAAUGAAAUAGGACGGACUGAUUCUAUUUCGUUGGUUUCUAGGAUCACCGUAAUGAUUAACAGGGAUAGUUGGGGGCAUUAGUAUUCAAUUGUCAGAGGUGAAAUUCUUGGAUUUAUUGAAGACUAACUACUGCGAAAGCAUUUGCCAAGGAUGUUUUCAUUAAUCAAGAACGAAAGUUAGGGGAUCGAAGACGAUCAGAUACCGUCGUAGUCUUAACCAUAAACUAUGCCGACUAGGGAUCGGAUGAUGUUAAUUUUUUAAUGACUCAUUCGGCGCCUUACG